CUCUAUUUCAGGCCUAUCAGUCUAUCAAUUGUUUUUGUCACUGGCAAUCUUUGAAAUACAAUCUUGCUCUGUGGCCUUUACUGACAAGUUGGCUUUUACUACAUAUGUGGCACUGACACUUCUUUAAUUAAUGCACCAGUCAAUGUAAACCCCCCAACCGGGGAGGGGCAGGGAUUUUGACUUGGAGGGGUAGUAAAAGAGAAAAAUUGUCCCGCCCCCGGGGACAUCAAUGUCCCCUGCAUGUCUCUCAACCCCGGGAAAAUAGUUUUGUAUAAUCAUAGAUCAGCAAUAGAAAAUCAAAUUCAUUUAUGUUGUUGUAUUUAAACUUUUCUUGUCAAGAAAACUAAAACAGCAACACAGGAUAUAUAUAUAUAUUAACCACCGUCCAAGUCUCCCAUCAUCAGACAAAUUUAUAAUCAAAACUGACCACUUUCCCCGCUAAACCUCCCGCCCCUCCCCAGUUGGGGGCAGGGAUUUACAUUGACUGGUGCAUAACUAGAUGAUUGCAUGAAAGUUGAUUUACGUAUAAUUAGUUUAUGAAUAAAGUGUUAUUUUCCGCUGGCUGAGGCAUGAAAGAAGUGGAAAAUGUUUUUUCACACACUGCUGGGGGCCUGAUGAAAUCAGGAAAGGUGGUGCAGGUUAUUUGAGCAUAUUUUUGUUGUUGCUCAGCGUGGCUUGACAGUAUCCCACCCACCCCAGCCCUUUUAUGUUUAUUAGUAGAGAGUAGAGGAACAGAACGGUUUUGGACUGGGUAUAUUAUGUACUUGUUAUAGUAAUUAUGUAGCGAGCAAUUGUAAUGUAUGGUAGUUUAAUAAAUGUCAAGCUUGCGGCUGACGCUGCAACAGCUCCCAG
This is a non-coding RNA of Paramuricea clavata, 852 nucleotides long. The record is from the annotation of a GenBank genome assembly. NCBI's taxonomy places the organism in Eukaryota, Metazoa, Cnidaria, Anthozoa, Malacalcyonacea, Plexauridae.